GGAUGCGAUCAUACCAGCACUAAAGCACCGGAUCCCAUCAGAACUUCGAAGUUAAGCGUGCUUGGGCGAGAGUAGUAAUAGGAUGGGUGACCUCCUGGGAAGUCCUCGUGUUGCAUUCC
Molecule: ribosomal RNA, 119 nt
Filed under: Hordeum vulgare subsp. vulgare (domesticated barley)
Lineage: Eukaryota; Viridiplantae; Streptophyta; Magnoliopsida; Poales; Poaceae
Source: RNAcentral